Molecule: non-coding RNA, 148 nt
Filed under: Homo sapiens (human)
Lineage: Eukaryota; Metazoa; Chordata; Mammalia; Primates; Hominidae
Source: Rfam by way of RNAcentral
GCCUGGUGUGGUAGUGCACGCCUGUAAUCCCAGCUACUCCGGAGGCUGAGGCAGGAGAAUCAUUUGAACCCAGGAGGUAGAGGUUGCAGUGAGCUGAGAUUGCAUCGCUGCACCCCAGCCUGGGUAACAAAAUGAGACUCUGUCUCAA